This 487-nucleotide ribosomal RNA is filed under the name uncultured bacterium. Its description in RNAcentral is "bacterial SSU rRNA". It matches the Rfam family "Bacterial small subunit ribosomal RNA", at positions 28 to 507 of the family's 1533-position model. The record is from RNAcentral.
GAUGAACGCUAGCGGGAGGCUUAACACAUGCAAGUCGAGGGGCAGCAUAGGGUAGCAAUACUCUGAUGGCGACCGGCAAACGGGUGAGUAACGCGUAUGCAACCUACCCUGUACAGGGGGAUAACCCGGAGAAAUUCGGACUAAUAUUCCGUAAUAAUAUCCGGAGGCAUCUUUGGAUAUUUAAAGUUCCGACGGUACGGGAUGGGCAUGCGUAACAUUAGCUGGUUGGUAAGGUAACGGCUUACCAAGGCUAUGAUGUUUAGGGGUCCUGAGAGGGUGGUCCCCCACACUGGUACUGAGACACGGACCAGACUCCUACGGGAGGCAGCAGUGAGGAAUAUUGGUCAAUGGGCGCAAGCCUGAACCAGCCAUCCCGCGUGCAGGAAGACGGCCCUAUGGGUUGUAAACUGCUUUUCCAGGGAGAGAAACUUACGCACGUGUUGCGUGACUGACGGUACCCUGGGAAUAAGCAUCGGCUAACUCCGUG